UAAACGGACCAUCGAGUAUCCAUUGGAGGGCAAGUCUGGUGCCAGCAGCUGCGGUAAUACCAGCUCCAAUAGCGUAUAUUAAAGUUGUUGCAGUUAAAAAGCUCGUAGUUGGACUUGUGUGCGCUGUCCGCGGGUGGCCUGCGCCCAAAAGGGCGUUUCGGUUCGGCCCCGGUGGCGCCUUGAAAUCUGCAGCUGGGGGGACGUUGGCCUUAACUGGUCGGCGACCGCACGCCGGCUGCUCGGUUACUGUGAGAAAAUUAGAGUGUUCAAGGCAGGCAUUGGGUGCAAUUAAAUACAUUAGCAUGGAAUAAUAAAAUAUGGCUCCUGCCGUAUUUUGUUGGUUUUGACUGGUGGGAGUAAUGAUUGAUAGGGACGGUUGGGGGUGCUAGUAUUGAGCGGCCAGAGGUGAAAUUCAUGGAUUCGCUCAAGACUAACUUAUGCGAAAGCAUUCACCAAGGACGUCCUCUUUAAUCAAGAACGAAAGUUGGGGGAUCGAAGACGAUCAGAUACCGUCGUAGUCUCAACCAUAAACUAUGUCGACUUGGGAUCGGCGGUAGUUUUUUCAUUAAGACACUGUCGGGACCACGGGAGAAAUCAAAGUGUCUGGACUCUGGGGGAAGUAUGGUCGCAAGGCUGAAACUUGAAGGAAUUGACGGAAGGGCACCACCAGGAGUGGAGCCUGCGGCUUAAUUUGACCCAACACGGGGAAACUUACCAGGUCCAGAGAUGUAGAGGAUUGACAGAUUGAAGCUCUUUCUUGAUCACUUCGGUGGUGGUGCAUGGCCGUUCUUAGUUGGUGGAGUGAUUUGUCUGGUUAAUUCCGUUAACGAACGAGACCUCAGCCUGCUAGUGUAGUCGGCUGGAUUGCCUUUGGCGAUCCGUGAUUUCGACUUCUUAGAGGGACAAUCGACGCGCAGUCGAUGGAAGUUUGAGGCAAUAACAGGUCUGUGAUGCCCUUAGAUGUUCUGGGCCGCACGCGCGCUACACUGCUGGGCUCAGCGAGUUUUACUUGGCCGAGAGGCCCGGUUAAUCUUGUGAAAUCCCAGCGUGCUUGGGCUCGCCUCCUGCAACUGGAGGCGCCAACGAGGAAUUCCUAGUAGACGCAGGUCAUCAACCUGCAUCGAUUACGUCCCUGCCCUUUGUACACACCGCCCGUCGUUCCAUAAGAGUGAGGCAUCCGGUGAAUUCUCGGGAGAGCCUGGGCGUGGCCAGCAAUGGUCUGCUCGGGUUUGAACUUGCAUAAACUUGGUGCCUAUGAUUAGGG
This 1264-nucleotide ribosomal RNA is filed under the name metagenome. RNAcentral's name for it is "SSU rRNA". It matches the Rfam family "Eukaryotic small subunit ribosomal RNA", at positions 526 to 1783 of the family's 1831-position model. The record is from RNAcentral.